CAUCGACGCCUGAUCACGUCGUAGUCUGAUUGAGGCUCGUCCCCCGCCGCUUCAGACUUGGACAAAGGCCUUAUCCCCCUCUCCGGGCCUUUGUCCCUAUAUUCUGAAGCCGUCGUGGCAGUCCCCCCCGCCCGCCACGACGGCUUUAU
Molecule: small RNA, 149 nt
Filed under: Rhizobium sp. PDO1-076
Lineage: Bacteria; Pseudomonadati; Pseudomonadota; Alphaproteobacteria; Hyphomicrobiales; Rhizobiaceae
Description: Alphaproteobacterial sRNA ar7
Rfam family: Alphaproteobacterial sRNA ar7
Source: Rfam by way of RNAcentral